GAUGAAGAACGCAGCGAAAUGCGAUAAGUAAUGUGAAUUGCAGAAUUCAGUGAAUCAUCGAAUCUUUGAACGCACAUUGCGCCCGCCAGUAUUCUGGCGGGCAUGCCUGUUCGAGCGUCAUUUCAACCCUCAAGCCCUGCUUGGUGUUGGGGAUCGGCGUUGCCUCCUCCGUCGUUCGCGGCGGGGUGAGGUCGCCGCCCCCGAAAUGAAUUGGCGGUCUCGUCGCAGCUUUCCUUUGCGUAGUAACAUACCACCUCGCAUCCAGGAGCGCGGCGCGGCCACUGCCGUAAAACGCCCAACUUUUUCAAGAGUUGACCUCGAAUCAGGUAGGAAUACCCGCUGAACUUAAGCAUAUCAAUAAGCGGAGGA
RNAcentral lists this unclassified non-coding RNA (369 nucleotides) under soil metagenome. RNAcentral's name for it is "partial contains 5.8S ribosomal RNA, internal transcribed spacer 2, and large subunit ribosomal RNA". The stretch from base 1 to 120 matches the Rfam family "5.8S ribosomal RNA", at positions 35 to 154 of the family's 154-position model. The record is from RNAcentral.